UUUAACAAAUGGCUCCACAUACGGGUUCAGCUACUCCAGAGCAAAUUGACGUACUUCUCAAUUUCUUGGACGAGCAUAGGGAUCUUGCUCGUGGAAGAUUGAGGGGUGCCGAUGGCAAUGUCCAAACUAAGAGACUGUGGGAAAAAUUGUGCAAUUCACUCAAUUCUAUGGGUGGUUGUACAAAAACAAUCCAGCAAAAAGUACCUUUAUUUUUAAAUAAUUGUCAAAAAAAUCACUGUGUGCCAAAUAAACAGUUACAUAAAAUAUCUCAUCCUUUUAUAUCAUGCAGGUUUGGUUCGAUAGAAAACAUCUUGCCAAAAAAGCUACUGCUGAUUCUCGAAGAUCAACUUCAGCAACUGGAGGUGGACCAUCGCUCACACCACCACUCUCCCAAUUGCAGGUGUAGGUCCUGUUAAUAAUGGGAGAUGGGUUUGGUGGACGUCAAACUACAGCCAGAGUACCGGCCUUCAGUGAGGCUAAUGUACCAUCCACCUCCAGUCAUGUCCCACCACAGUCUCAAAUAAGUUUGGAUUUGCCAGAAGUUAUGGAAUAUGCUGUACCCAGUCAGGAAGAUAUUCAGUCCACACAGCUGAUGUCUCUAUCUCAGACACCCAGAAGUUGUAAGCAUUUGUUAAAUACAUAUUAACCAAUAAAAACUCCGAGAAUGGAAAAACGUAGCCACAAAAAUAAGCGAACUCACUGGUAAAACCAGAACUGACGGUGAAGUAAAGUUGGCCUGUAAGAGGAUGAAACUUGCAGCCAGAGCAAAUUUAUCUAUUCAUAGGCAAGAACAAAUGCGUACAGGUGGUGAAAAAACCAAAGUCACCAUCUCUGGAAGACCAGG
This is a long non-coding RNA of Papilio machaon (common yellow swallowtail), 844 nucleotides long. RefSeq lists it as uncharacterized. The record is from RefSeq and is a predicted model, not a curated record. The transcript is spliced from 3 exons. Lineage: Eukaryota; Metazoa; Arthropoda; Insecta; Lepidoptera; Papilionidae.